RNAcentral lists this long non-coding RNA (1843 nucleotides) under Homo sapiens (human). Its description in RNAcentral is "HSALNT0057765". Lineage: Eukaryota; Metazoa; Chordata; Mammalia; Primates; Hominidae. The record is from RNAcentral.
GCUACUUGAGAGGCUAAGGCAGGAGAAUCGCUUGAACUCAGGAGGCAGAGGUUGCAGUGAGCCGAGAUUGCACCAUUGCACUCCAGCCUGGGUGACAGCAAGACCCCAUCACAAAAAAAAAAAAAAAAAACAGUAAAAAUUAUCCAUAUGUCUGUCAUUAGAAAGACUCCUGCACAGCCAGUUUAUUUGGAAGGUGACUCCAAGAGGGGAUCAUGGGACCAGGGAGAAUGAGGCGGGGAAGAUUGAAAAGCCCAAUUAAAAAUGGAAGUUGAUCACUCCUGAAAGCAACAGCACUUGAUUCUGCCUCCUGAAUAACUUACAGAAUUGCCCACUGGCGGUCAGGAGGUGGGAGCACAGCCAUUAGAGAGAAACUCUAGAGAAAAAAAGCAAAACAACUCAAGACACAUACUUGAGUCAAGAUGCUGUCAGCACAAGCUGAUUCUACAUUCACGUGGAACUGUCCCCUUCAAGUGUGGCUGACAUCAGAGGUGGCCCAACUGGACAUGUCAUGAGGCUCCUGCAGUACCCAACUCCUACCCCCAGCAAGAACGAAAACUAGAGAAGAAGAUACAAAUAUCUAUUGGCUGAUGAAGAGUCUACUCCACUCAGGAAAGAACAUGUGGAAACCAUGAGAAAUGAAAGUACCCCGCCAAACCCAGCCAAAUCCAACCUCACCUCUCCUAGACACUUCCCCCUACAGUUUCUGGAGUUUCCCAGCUUCCUUGAGCAGGGAGCUUGCUCUUGAGAGAAGUGACUUCAGCUGAGGCAUUUCCCGCAGUGUGGACUGAAAGCUGAGGGUUAUUUGCUGGCAGUACUCCCAGAACUUGACUGGACUCAAACAUCUGGCCUCAAGUGAUCCUCCUGCUUUGGCCUCCUAAAGUGUUGAGAUUACAGACAUGAAUCACCGCACUCAGCCUGAGACAUACUUCUUUAAUUCCUGUAACAUUAUUUUAUGCUUUGAUACCUGAUGGAUAAUGCAGGGCCAAGCUGCACCAUGUUCCUAAGAGAAAGCCAAGAACAUAAGUCACACAAGCCCUCAGGAAGAGAAGGAAAGAAUGAGUGACAGUAGACCGCAGAUGUGAGCAAAUUCAUGGAGGAUGGAAACUGAAUGAGGGAAUGGUGGCUGGCUUAACUUAACAGAGGAAAGUGCAUUCUAAAUACCUAUCAUAAAAGCAACAAAGAGAAUAAGCCUAUCCACUCCACACUUUGGAACUGCCUGUUUAAAAGUUGAUCCCCGGACCCCACCAAGUCUACAAGCUCCACCUCAAGGACAGAAUGGAAACUGUAUUCAUCGAGGGGCUUUUAAUUGACAAAUAAAAAUUGUAUAUAUUUAUCCAUGUAUAAUAUGAAGGUUUGAAAUAUGUAUACACUGGGGAAUGGCUAAAUCAAGCUAACUAACAUCUGCAUUACCUCACAUACUUAUUUUUUGUGGUGAGAACACUUAAAAUCUACUCUCUUAGUAAUUUUCAAGAGUACAAUAUAUUGUUAUUAACUAUAGUCACAAUGUUGUCUAGCAGACCCUUCUCAGAAUCUAACAAAAUGUUUGGCUAGUAAUAGGGGCUCAAAAAGUAUUUGUGAGUGAAAAGAGUGAAUAUAUUAAUUAAUUUGUUAAUGUAUUCACUGGCAGGUGUAUUUACCUAAUUCAGUCUUUAAAAUAAUGUUCUAUAUUCCAAGUUUUCCUUAGGGAGUUAACCCAAUAUUAUAGCUUGAUUGUUUACACAAGACCCAUAAAACAAACUAUAAUAGCAAUAGUCAACAAAGAGAUGAUAUUGGCAUAAUAUAAUGCUAUAUUGGUUUUAUUGUGCUGCCAUAACAAAUUACCAAAAAUUUAGUAUCUUAAAAC